AAAGAAUUCAAUGCAGUUGGCUACAGGGGAAUGAUAAAACCCCUAGUCCCAAAGACAAACAAAGUUGAGGUCAGGUCAUGUUUGGGAGCAUGUACUGGUACAGCACAUUGCCGCACUCACCACAUGACAAAACAGCUCAGGGUCCCAGUUGGCAACUCCCCAGGCAGACAUGCGGUCCAGUCCCAACCUUCUGAAAUAAAUGUCCAUCUGCUGCAGCCAACUGUUACAUGGGCAUCCCUUGGCCUGGUCCAACUGCUCGAGUCCUCAACAAUGAGGAUCCUGCAAGCUGGAUCACCCUGGGGGAACUGCGCCACAUGGCCUUAGUGCCAUAACUGAUGAUCCCUCACCAUACAGGUAAUUAGGGACUCCGUGAGCAACCACUUGUUUGAUACAAAGUCAAACCAGUGGUACCCAAGGUAUUUCUAAGAGACACAGUACCGAAUGAAUCCAGUCUUUGUCUCAUGUCACUGGACAGCCUCCAUGUCUCAACCAUAUAACAAAACAGGAAGCAUCAGGACUCGAAAGACUUGAAACUUCGUCCAUUUGCAAAGAUAUCGGGAGCACCACACACCCCUUUCCAGCGACCUCAUGAUGCGCCAUGCUCUUUCAAUCAUAGGAAGAGUCACUAGAGACAUGAAUGUCAGUUCCGUGUGACUGACCACAAUCAAGGAGAAGAAGCCAUACCUCAAGAAGGGAAGAGUCACAUUAUUGCCUGAGUGGCAAAAGCACAGCAAAGUUGUAGAGGAAGCUGUUAGGAAGACACCAUAGAAAAUGAAUCACAUGGCUGUAGUGUUAUACAGGGAUAUGCAAAGCAGAAAGGCAAAAACUUAAAGCAGAAGCAG
Molecule: long non-coding RNA, 842 nt
Organism: Erpetoichthys calabaricus (reedfish)
Lineage: Eukaryota; Metazoa; Chordata; Cladistia; Polypteriformes; Polypteridae
Exons: 2
Source: RefSeq, a predicted model, not a curated record